Molecule: transfer RNA, 99 nt
Organism: Exophiala spinifera
Lineage: Eukaryota; Fungi; Ascomycota; Eurotiomycetes; Chaetothyriales; Herpotrichiellaceae
Rfam family: tRNA
About the family: Transfer RNA (tRNA) molecules are approximately 80 nucleotides in length.
Source: Rfam
GGAAGGAUGGCCGAGUGGUCUAAGGCGCUGUGUUUAGGUCUCUCUUUGAACUUGAAACCGCAGUGGGAAACCGCGUGGGUUCGAAUCCCACUCCUUUCA